GGUCCUAUGGCACAGCGGUAGCGCGUGAGAUUGCAAAUCUUAAGGUCCCGAGUUCGAAUCUCGGUGGGACCU
This is a transfer RNA of Yarrowia lipolytica, 72 nucleotides long. It matches the Rfam family "tRNA". Rfam says of the family: Transfer RNA (tRNA) molecules are approximately 80 nucleotides in length. The record is from Rfam. NCBI's taxonomy places the organism in Eukaryota, Fungi, Ascomycota, Dipodascomycetes, Dipodascales.